Molecule: ribosomal RNA, 506 nt
Filed under: uncultured bacterium
Lineage: Bacteria
Description: partial 16S ribosomal RNA
Rfam family: Bacterial small subunit ribosomal RNA
Source: RNAcentral
AGUGAACGCUGGCGGUAGGCCUAACACAUGCAAGUCGAACGGCAGCACAGAGGAGCUUGCUCCUUGGGUGGCGAGUGGCGGACGGGUGAGGAAUACAUCGGAAUCUACUCUGUCGUGGGGGAUAACGUAGGGAAACUUACGCUAAUACCGCAUACGACCUACGGGUGAAAGCAGGGGAUCUUCGGACCUUGCGCGAUUGAAUGAGCCGAUGUCGGAUUAGCUAGUUGGCGGGGUAAAGGCCCACCAAGGCGACGAUCCGUAGCUGGUCCGAGAGGAUGAUCAGCCACACUGGAACUGAGACACGGUCCAGACUCCUACGGGAGGCAGCAGUGGGGAAUAUUGGACAAUGGGCGCAAGCCUGAUCCAGCCAUACCGCGUGGGUGAAGAAGGCCCUCGGGUUGUAAAGCCCUUUUGUUGGGAAAGAAAUCCGGCUGGUUAAUACCCGGUUGGGAUGACGGUACCCAAAGAAUAAGCACCGGCUAACUUCGUGCCAGCCGCCGCAGUAA